This 100-nucleotide ribosomal RNA is filed under the name Actinobacillus lignieresii. Its description in RNAcentral is "partial 16S ribosomal RNA". The record is from RNAcentral. Lineage: Bacteria; Pseudomonadati; Pseudomonadota; Gammaproteobacteria; Pasteurellales; Pasteurellaceae.
GGGGGAACCCNGAUGCAGCCAUGCCGCGUGAAUGAAGAAGGCUUCGGGUUAAGUUCUUUCGGUAGCGAGGAAGGUAUCAAAUUUAAUAGAUUUGGUAAUU